This 75-nucleotide transfer RNA is filed under the name Mycobacterium sp. ST-F2. RNAcentral describes it as "tRNA-Gly". It matches the Rfam family "tRNA". Rfam says of the family: Transfer RNA (tRNA) molecules are approximately 80 nucleotides in length. Their secondary structure includes four short double-helical elements and three loops (D, anti-codon, and T loops). Further hydrogen bonds mediate the characteristic L-shaped molecular structure. tRNAs have two regions of fundamental functional importance: the anti-codon, which is responsible for specific mRNA codon recognition, and the 3' end, to which the tRNAs corresponding amino acid is attached (by aminoacyl-tRNA synthetases). tRNAs cope with the degeneracy of the genetic code in two manners: having more than one tRNA (with a specific anti-codon) for a particular amino acid; and 'wobble' base-pairing, i.e. permitting non-standard base-pairing at the 3rd anti-codon position. The record is from RNAcentral. Lineage: Bacteria; Bacillati; Actinomycetota; Actinomycetes; Mycobacteriales; Mycobacteriaceae.
GCCGGUGUGGUGUAACUGGUUGCACGUCAGUCUUCCAAACUGAAAGCGCGAGUUCGCGUCUCGCCACCGGCUCGA